AUGAGGUAGCAAAUNCGAUACGGCCAUGG
This 29-nucleotide non-coding RNA is filed under the name Mus musculus (house mouse). Lineage: Eukaryota; Metazoa; Chordata; Mammalia; Rodentia; Muridae. The record is from RNAcentral.